This 464-nucleotide ribosomal RNA is filed under the name uncultured bacterium. RNAcentral's name for it is "SSU rRNA". It matches the Rfam family "Bacterial small subunit ribosomal RNA", at positions 26 to 518 of the family's 1533-position model. The record is from RNAcentral.
AGGACGAACGCUGGCGGCGUGCCUAAGAAAUGCAAGUCGAGCGGGGAGCAAUCCCAGCGGCGAACGGUCGCGUAACACGUAAGCAACCUGCCCCAAAGACCGGGACAACAUUCCGAAAGGAGUGCUAAUACCGGAUGUGCCCGUCUGUUGACAUCGGCGGACGAGUAAAUCAAGCAAUUGGCUUUGGGAGGGGCUUGCGGCCUAUCAGCUAGAUGGUGGGGUAACGGCCUACCAUGGCGACGACGGGUAGCUGGUCUGAGAGGAUGGUCAGCCGGAUUGGGACUGAGAUACGGCCCAGACUCCUACGGGGGCAGCAAUUAGGAAUCUUGCACAAUGGGCGAAAGCCUGAUGCAGCGACGUCGCGUGGGGAGGAAGGCUUUCGGGUUGUAAACCCCUUUUAUCGAGGAAGAAACAAAUGACGGUACUCGAUGAAUAAGCCCGGCUAACUACGUGCCAGCAGCCGC